CGGACAGACUGUGACUUUGCACUGUGAGUAUUCUGAACUGUGCGGUGGAGUGCGCAAGGUCCUGUAAACAUCAGACUCUUCCAACUUUGAUGCUCAGAUGAGCACUUCAUUCCACUUGUUGUCUGGUGUCGGGGUUUCGCCCCCCCCCCCCCACCUUUUGGGGUGUUGCUGCUACGGAGCACACCAGGCUUCCUCAGUCACGUUGACUCAUUGGAUUUCGUCCGGAGCAAAAACGUGACCAGUUCCAAACAUAGGAAGCUGCCUUGUGAUGAAUCAGGCCAUUGGCUCAUCUAGCUCCAAUUGGCAGCUGCUCUCAGGGGUUUCAGACAGGAGUUUCCCCAAGCCCCACCUUGGGAGGUGGUGGACUCUCCUUCCUUGGGGGUUUUCAAGCAGGGGUUGGGUGUCCAUCUGUCAUGGAUGCUUUAGUUGAGAUUCCCACAUUGCAGGGGGUUGGACUAGAUGACCCUCAGGGUCCCUUCAAGCUCUUCGAUUCUAUGUGCCCCACUCACCCUAUGGAGCUCCUCAUAGGUUCAUUGCUGGUGAAUUAGGGGUGGCUCCAGCCUUGAUGCUGCCCAUCCACAGCAGCUGGUCAACAGACUCAGCAAGCACACAGUUCACCUGGUGUCCUCCUCACUGUGUUUCAUAUUUUUAUUCACAUUACAGUACUUAUUUGUGUGUUUGUGUGUGUUGUACAUAAAUUAUACCUAUAGAUCUGUACGGUAGCUCAGCUGGUAGAGCAUAAGACUAUCUCAGGGUCAUGGGUUCAUAUAUAAAAACAUAAUAAAACAUUAAAUAUAAAAAAAGAAACUUCCCCAUACAGGGCAUCCUUCAGGUGUCUUCUAAAUUUGUAUACAGUGGUACCUCGGGUCACAUGCAUCAGGUUACAGACACUUCAGGUUACAGACUCCGCUAACCCAGAAAUAGUACCUUGGGUUAAGAACUUCAGGCUGAGAACAGAAGUUGUGCUCCAGCGGCACGGCGGCAGUGGGAGGCCCCAUCAGCUAAAGUGGUGCUUCAGGUUAAGAACAGUUUCAGGUUAAGAAUGGACCUCCGGAACGAAUUAAGUACUUAACCCAAGGUACCACUAUAGUUACAUAUCUCCUUGGUUUGGGGGAGGUCACACAACUCCACACCCUCCAACAUUUGUCUGAUGAAAAGAGGGAUAUCCUAAGGAAAAAUGGAACAUUUUGGGAUCAAAUCAGAAACUAGGACUGUCCCUGGAAAAGAGGUAGACUUGGAGGGUCUGCCACAUUUAGGGCCUGGUCUUGAGGCUCCUUAUUCCUGGUCGGCCAGGCCCUCAGCCACCCAAAGUCCUAAGUACGCAUCUCAGGCUGGUCCUCUAAUGCUCUUCCUUCAGCUUCUGUUUGGGCCCCAUCUUCCCCCAGGGGAGAUGUUAGCGUUGCCUCCCUGUAGUGGGGGAGAGAUGGCCUUGGAAGAACGGGCUGUACUGUCUGAGUCUUUCUACUGUGACUCUCGGCAGAGAUCAUCCGUCAGGCGAGAGAGGCCUGGUGGUGAGGAGGAGUGAUGGGGCCUUCGUUGUGAGUCAAUCUUUGGCUUGGUGCCUCGUGCUCAUUCCUCCCUUGUUUGUUGUUUCUCUAACAACGCAGACAAAUUCCGUGUGCUCCAAAAUUGCGUUGCAACAAAAAUUAAGGAAGAAUUCAAAAGAGGAUUCCCGAGUUCUUUGGUAAUUGGAAAACGGACAGGGUGGGGCAGGAGAUGAGGAACAAGAGCUCACCGGAAAGCAAUCUGGAUUGGGGGCAUGUGUUGCUGUUGCAACCUUUUUAUAAAAUAAAAAAUUAAAAUUAAACUUUUUUUUCUGACAAGGAACUCUUGCCUUCUGCAGAUGCAAGCCACGGGCAGAAAUUCAGCAGGUAUAGUGUUGCCCACCCGCCUUGUUCUGAUGAAAGCGUUCCCUGUUGACUUUCUGCCGACAGAAUACAUGCAAUUGCCCUGCCGCUGGGGCUGGAGCAGCAAGGUUACAGCAGGAACAGCCGGCCCUCUGACCCGAAACGAGAUUUAUGGUUGCAACACAGCUUCACGAAAACAAAGCGACACGAACCGUCAGUUAAUAAAUUUUAUUCGCAGAUCAGAGAAUGUUCUCCAGCCAUCCGAGGAAUCAGAAUUUGGCACAGAUGUGCUCCAGUACAGCUGCACCAGCAGCAGCGGACCUAAUUAUCUCUCUAUAUAAAAGUUGAUUGCUAACAUCCAGUCCCACGCUCCCGACAUUCCGUCACACUUCGGUGUGACCAAU
Non-coding RNA from Podarcis lilfordi (Lilford's wall lizard), 2251 nucleotides. The record is from the annotation of a GenBank genome assembly. NCBI's taxonomy places the organism in Eukaryota, Metazoa, Chordata, Lepidosauria, Squamata, Lacertidae.